Molecule: ribosomal RNA, 459 nt
Filed under: uncultured bacterium
Lineage: Bacteria
Description: partial 16S ribosomal RNA
Rfam family: Bacterial small subunit ribosomal RNA
Source: RNAcentral
CCUACGGGUGGCAGCAGUGAGGAAUAUUGGUCAAUGGGCGGAAGCCUGAACCAGCCAAGUAGCGUGCGGGAUGAAGGCCCUACGGGUCGUAAACCGCUUUUGCACGGGGAUAACACCCUCCACUUGUGGAGGUCUGCAGGUAUCGUGCGAAUAAGGGCCGGCUAAUUCCGUGCCAGCAGCCGCGGUAAUACGGAGGGCCCGAGCGUUAUCCGGAUUCAUUGGGCUUAAAGGGAGGGUAGGCGGGCGUGCAAGGGGGCUGUAAAAUCGCGGGGCUAAACCGCGCACCGCAGUUGAAACUGGACGCCUUGAGUUCACAACAGGCAGGCGGAAUUCGUGGUGUAGCGGUGAAAUGCAUAGAUAUCACGAGGAACACCGGUUGCGAAGGCAGCUUGCCGGGGUGCGACUGACGCUGAGGCUCGAAGGUGCGGGUAUCAAACAGGAUUAGAUACCCCUGUAGUC